Engraulis encrasicolus (European anchovy) is the source of this 2162-nucleotide long non-coding RNA. RefSeq lists it as uncharacterized. The record is from RefSeq and is a predicted model, not a curated record. The transcript has 4 exons. NCBI's taxonomy places the organism in Eukaryota, Metazoa, Chordata, Actinopteri, Clupeiformes, Engraulidae.
GUUGUGUUACAUGCAUAUAUCUUCGGUCAAGCAUGAAGAAACACAGCAUUUCACCAAUAUACGGUGGAAUACAUAUCGACAUUUUCGGCAGCGGCUAGAAUUGAAGGGUGAGUGCAGAGACGUAGCAGAACAUGUAUUGAGUUGGAGUUUGACGAAAUUCCCGAGGAUGCGGCUCUCCAUCCCACAUGCUACCGGAGGUUUAUUGACAAGCGGGAAAUUGAACGAGUCACACGGCGUGUCUUGCGAGAGGCAGAGAGGGGAGAUGGCCAACAAGACCCCCGAACUAGCCAGGCUACCUCCGCUUUAUCGGCUGUGACCACCACUCCGACCAGGAAACUGCGAUCCAGAUCAAGCUUGGCCAUCACGAGCUCUGGUCCCGUUCUUCCUGCUGUCUGCAUGAUUUGCAAGAAAGACAGCAAAUUUAUCGUCGCGAGUGGCAGACGUCAAAGAGAACGAAAACACAGACUUUAACCGCAGGCAAGUUGCAGGAAGCAGCUGAAGUAAAGGAAGCCAAGAGCAUCCUCAUUCACAUCAAGGACAGAGACUGUGUGGCUCAGAACAGAGAAAGAACAGAUUGGGCCAACAUUUGAUCUGAGCUACAAGUUAUUCUGCGAGAGGGUAAUCCGCUAAAGGCUACUGAUCAACCAAGAGGUGCUGAGGAUGAGCCAACUGAGGAAGGCCUUUAUUGCCCUUGUGCAGUCAAGUGAAGGUGUUGAUGCUUCAACCUACAGACAGGAUAUAUUGAAGAAGAGGCUCAGUCGUGAUUUUCCUCAGCUAGUGUUCCACACCCCCGCCAAACGCAACACAUCUGAACUGGUUUUUGCUGAGAACUUGUCGACGAAUGCAGUCUUGAACUUGUUACCAUCAGGUGCGGAGACGACUCAGUCCAGCGAAAUGAGCCAGACAGACAGCGACACAGAAAGGAGGAAGUCAAAGCAACCAACCACAGCAGAGGAGACACGGACACUUUACACAGCAGCUUUGCUUUUGAAGAGGCUGCUUAGUCACAGUCCUGGCAUGUCAUGCCCAUGGCCCCCAACUGCAGUAAACUUCAAUCUCACUGAAGUCAUUUGCUGUGGCAUGCGCAAAAGAUGUGUACCUGGAUGCUUUCACACAGUUCAUGAAAAUGCCGGUUCAUGUGUAUGCCACUUGUUUUGAUUUUUUUAUUUGUUGUUUAGUUAUUAGUGAAUAAAUGAAUACAUGAAUACCUGAAUGGUCCUUAUCAUUGAUCAUUAGAUUAUUUCCAUUUAUUAAUGUGAAUAUGAAAAGGUAACCUUAUCAUCCACUUGCAUAAUAGUUGUUGGUGCUAUAAACAAAGCACUGUUACAAUCACUUAGAGGGUUAUCAAUAGCCUGGGUUAUCUAUAGCCUACUUAUUGUAAUUGUUUCCAUUAAUUGCUCAAAACCACAGUAUGAAAUGUCAAUUGCAAAAUUGUGCCUUGUGCUGUAAAUAAAGCACUGUUUAUGAUUUAUUUAGAACUUAUCCCAAUCCAGAGAUAUAUGCAUGAGUAUUAUUUUUGAUAAUUGUUAUUAUAUGUGAACAUGAAAAGGUAACCUUAUCAUCCACUUGCACAAUAGUUGUUGGUGCUAUAAACAAAGCACUGUUUGGAGUUACAAUCACUUAGAGGGUUAUCAAUAGUCUGGGUUAUCUAUAGCCUACUUAUUGCAAUUGUUUCCAUUAAUUGCUCAAAUCCACAGUAUGAAAUGUCAAUAGCAUAAUUAUGCUUUGUUCAGUAAAUAAAGCAUUAUUUAUUAUUUAUUUAGAAUUUGUCCCAAUCCAGAAAUGUAGGCACGAGUAUUAUUUUUGAUAAUUGCUAUUAUAUACCCUCUUCAAAAGGGUAUUUUGGGAGAUUCUUAUAGGUAGGUCAGACAGACGGCUUGUCAUUAUUUUCAGUUUUUCAAACGGCUUGCCACUUUUUCGCCGUAAAUCGGCUACGUGAUUGGUUUAAAACGGUCACAUGGUGUCCAGUGACGUAAAAAUCGUCAUUCCCUACAGAGGGUAAGAUUUCUUACUAAAAUGUCACCGUUUUAACCUACGUGCACGAUUACAUGAAGCGGACAUUUCACGGUAAGUUGAACAUAGCUUUGGUCGUUUCAUCAUCUAAGGGACCUGCUGUUCGGAAGCUGUGGAGCGAGGUUGAACGAAAAGGGCUGUCACCCUAC